GAAACUGGCAGGCUUGAGUCUUGUAGAGGGGGGUAGAAUUCCAGGUGUAGCGGUGAAAUGCGUAGAGAUCUGGAGGAAUACCGGUGGCGAAGGCGGCCCCCUGGACAAAGACUGACGCUCAGGUGCGAAAGCGUGGGGAGCAAACAGGAUUAGAUACCCUGGUAGUCCACGCCGUAAACGAUGUCUACUUGGAGGUUGUGCCCUUGAGGCGUGGCUUCCGGAGCUAACGCGUUAAGUAGACCGCCUGGGGAGUACGGCCGCAAGGUUAAAACUCAAAUGAAUUGACGGGGGCCCGCACAAGCGGUGGAGCAUGUGGUUUAAUUCGAUGCAACGCGAAGAACCUUAC
This 346-nucleotide ribosomal RNA is filed under the name Salmonella enterica. Its description in RNAcentral is "bacterial SSU rRNA". It matches the Rfam family "Bacterial small subunit ribosomal RNA", at positions 629 to 974 of the family's 1533-position model. The record is from RNAcentral. RNAcentral also lists the same sequence under 1 other name. Lineage: Bacteria; Pseudomonadati; Pseudomonadota; Gammaproteobacteria; Enterobacterales; Enterobacteriaceae.